GGGGGGGGGGGGGGGCGGGGGUGGGGCGUGGGGGGGGGGCGGGAGCUUGGGGGCUCGUGGCGCGCGGGUGCGUAAGGCGUGGGACGCUUCCCUGAGGGUCGGACUAACUCCCCGCAAGGGGCGCUCAUCCCGGCACCUUUCUUCUGACAAACGCUUGAUCUCCGUUGUAUGGGCCCUCGGUGGCGUAGCUAGUUGGUAGUGUUAAAGCAUACACAGGCGACUAUCCAUAGCUGGUCUGAGAGGAUGAUAAGCAACACUGGGACUGAGACACGGCCCAGACUCCUACGGGAGGCAGCAGUGGGGAAUAUUGGACAAUGGGCGAAAGCCUGAUCCAGCAAUGCCGCGUGAGUGAUGAAGGCCUUAGGGUUGUAAAGCUCUUUUACCCGGGAUGAUAAUGACAGUACCGGGAGAAUAAGCGCCGGCUAACUCCGUG
RNAcentral lists this ribosomal RNA (433 nucleotides) under uncultured bacterium. RNAcentral's name for it is "partial 16S ribosomal RNA". It matches the Rfam family "Bacterial small subunit ribosomal RNA", at positions 27 to 507 of the family's 1533-position model. The record is from RNAcentral.